RNAcentral lists this ribosomal RNA (397 nucleotides) under uncultured bacterium. RNAcentral describes it as "bacterial SSU rRNA". It matches the Rfam family "Bacterial small subunit ribosomal RNA", at positions 66 to 449 of the family's 1533-position model. The record is from RNAcentral.
GCGGAAACGACUUAUCUGAACCUUCGGGGAAGGAUAACGGCGUCGAGCGGCGGACGGGUGAGUAAUGCCUAGGAAAUUGCCCUGAUGUGGGGGAUAACCAUUGGAAACGAUGGCUAAUACCGCAUGAUGCCUACGGGCCAAAGAGGGGGACCUUCGGGCCUCUCGCGUCAGGAUAUGCCUAGGUGGGAUUAGCUAGUUGGUGAGGUAAGGGCUCACCAAGGCGACGAUCCCUAGCUGGUCUGAGAGGAUGAUCAGCCACACUGGAACUGAGACACGGUCCAGACUCCUACGGGAGGCAGCAGUGGGGAAUAUUGCACAAUGGGCGCAAGCCUGAUGCAGCCAUGCCGCGUGUGUGAAGAAGGCCUUCGGGUUGUCAAGCACUUUCAGUCGUGAGGAA